RNAcentral lists this transfer RNA (95 nucleotides) under Desulfovibrio sp. OttesenSCG-928-M16. RNAcentral's name for it is "tRNA-Ser". It matches the Rfam family "tRNA". From Rfam's summary of the family: Transfer RNA (tRNA) molecules are approximately 80 nucleotides in length. Their secondary structure includes four short double-helical elements and three loops (D, anti-codon, and T loops). Further hydrogen bonds mediate the characteristic L-shaped molecular structure. tRNAs have two regions of fundamental functional importance: the anti-codon, which is responsible for specific mRNA codon recognition, and the 3' end, to which the tRNAs corresponding amino acid is attached (by aminoacyl-tRNA synthetases). tRNAs cope with the degeneracy of the genetic code in two manners: having more than one tRNA (with a specific anti-codon) for a particular amino acid; and 'wobble' base-pairing, i.e. permitting non-standard base-pairing at the 3rd anti-codon position. Lineage: Bacteria; Pseudomonadati; Thermodesulfobacteriota; Desulfovibrionia; Desulfovibrionales; Desulfovibrionaceae. The record is from RNAcentral. RNAcentral also lists the same sequence under 1 other name.
GGAGAGGUAGCGAAGUUCGGCCGUAACGCGCUCGACUCGAAAUCGAGUUAUCCCAGAGAUGGGAUACGUGGGUUCGAAUCCCACCCUCUCCGCCA